Molecule: ribosomal RNA, 501 nt
Filed under: uncultured bacterium
Lineage: Bacteria
Description: bacterial SSU rRNA
Rfam family: Bacterial small subunit ribosomal RNA
Source: RNAcentral
AGUUUGAUCAUGGCUCAGAUUGAACGCUGGCGGCAUGCUUUACACAUGCAAGUCGAACGGUAACAGGCCUUCGGGUGCUGACGAGUGGCGAACGGGUGAGUAAUGCAUCGGAACGUGCCCAAUCGGUGGGGGAUAACGUAGCGAAAGUUACGCUAAUACCGCAUAAGCCCUGAGGGGGAAAGUGGGGGACCGCAAGGCCUCACGCGAAUGGAGCGGCCGAUGUCAGAUUAGCUAGUUGGUGGGGUAAAGGCCCACCAAGGCGACGAUCUGUAGCGGGUCUGAGAGGAUGAUCCGCCACACUGGGACUGAGACACGGCCCAGACUCCUACGGGAGGCAGCAGUGGGGAAUUUUGGACAAUGGGCGCAAGCCUGAUCCAGCCAUGCCGCGUGCGGGACGAAGGCCUUCGGGUUGUAAACCGCUUUCAGCCGGAAAGAAAUCGCCGUUUUUAAUACAGACGGUGGAUGACGGUACCGGAAGAAGAAGCACCGGCUAACUACGUG